Molecule: non-coding RNA, 110 nt
Organism: Lasiosphaeria ovina
Lineage: Eukaryota; Fungi; Ascomycota; Sordariomycetes; Sordariales; Lasiosphaeriaceae
Source: the annotation of a GenBank genome assembly
GCCCGCAUAGCUCAGUGGUAGAGCGCGUCACGAUUCACCGCGUCACUAGUUACCCUUGAAUCUCAAGAUUCGACAUGACGAGGUCUUCAGUUCGACUCUGGAUGUGGGAA